Molecule: ribosomal RNA, 250 nt
Filed under: uncultured bacterium
Lineage: Bacteria
Description: partial 16S ribosomal RNA
Rfam family: Bacterial small subunit ribosomal RNA
Source: RNAcentral
UAAGUGAUGGCGACCGGCGCACGGUGAGUAACACGUAUCCAACCUGCCGAUAACUCGGGGAUAGCCUUUCGAAAGAAAGAUUAAUACCCGAUGGUAUAAUAAAGCCGCAUGGUUUAAUUAUUAAAGAAUUUCGGUUAUCGAUGGGGAUGCGUUCCAUUAGGCAGUUGGUGAGGUAACGGCUCACCAAACCUUCGAUGGAUAGGGGUUCUGAGAGGAAGGUCCCCCACAUUGGAACUGAGACACGGUCCAA